Molecule: unclassified non-coding RNA, 576 nt
Filed under: Hevea brasiliensis (rubber tree)
Lineage: Eukaryota; Viridiplantae; Streptophyta; Magnoliopsida; Malpighiales; Euphorbiaceae
Source: RNAcentral
GGGAAUCCAACUUUUCAAUGCUUCAGUGCUUGCAUCUGCUUAGAUAACACUAACUCAAACAAGCUUCUGUUUCACAACCAGUCAAGCCUAGAAAUAACAUCGGCUUAUAGACAUGAAUUAAGUAGUGUGGGCACUUAACAUGAUCAUACAUUUGUAUUUACAGUUCAACAAAAGUUUAAGUUCCCAUCUAAGAAACUAUAUUUUCUUGAUAAUCAGCCGAGUCAAAGGCAGGAAUGAGGAUAUCCACAGCCCUGAGGUGAAAAGAUGGCAUCACAAGGAACACCAGCUGAAAAUCGUGGUGAUAUGUCAUUAAUGACUUCCUUCCCGAUCGCUCCUAUUUCAGGCAAUCUUUGAUUCAAUAAGGUCAAAGAUUAGUUCAAAGGUGAACACCAGUAGCUGUAGCACCCUGAUUGUAUGGAAGUUCCAUUUGAGUUUUUCAAACCCACAUCUUUGCUCCAGCAACCUUGCUUACACCUGUUCGUCAAGCAAAGAGAGUUGCCACUAUCUGUAUACUUGAUAUGGUAAACAACCAAGCAUUUCACAUUAAAUAACAAACUAAGAACCAGAACUUGACUU